Molecule: ribosomal RNA, 774 nt
Filed under: uncultured Neocallimastigales
Lineage: Eukaryota; Fungi; Neocallimastigomycota; Neocallimastigomycetes; Neocallimastigales
Description: partial large subunit ribosomal RNA
Rfam family: Eukaryotic large subunit ribosomal RNA
Source: RNAcentral
UACUAGAGUAGCACUCGCAUAUCAAUAAGCGGAGGAAAAGAAACUAACAAGGAUUCCCCUAGUAACGGCGAGUGAAGCGGGAAGAGCUCAAAUUUGAAAUCUUAAAGGGUUUCCCUUUACGAAUUGUAGUUUAAAGAAGUGUUUUCUGUUGAGGUUUUGGUAAAAGUUCUUUGGAAUAGGACAUCAUAGAGGGUGAGAAUCCCGUAUUUGACCUUUACUUUCAACUUUGUGAUACACUUUCAAAGAGUCGGAUUGUUUGGGAAUGCAGUCCAAAAUGGGUGGUAAAUUUCAUCUAAAGCUAAAUAUUGGCGAGAGACCGAUAGCGAACAAGUACCGUGAGGGAAAGAUGAAAAGAACUUUGAAAAGAGAGUUAAACAGUACGUGAAAUUGUCAAAAGGGAAGCGUUUGACACCAGUGUUGUUUUUCUGAAAAUCAAUUAAAGAACUGUUUAUGCUAAGUUGUUUAGACUUUAUCAGCUAUCUGCUUAGUUUUGAGCUUUUCUUUAAUGCACUUUUCAGUUAACAAGUCAACAUCAAUUUCUUUUGCUGUAAAAAAGCUUGAGGAAGGUGGCUUGAGAUUCGUCUUAAGUGUUUAUAGCCUCUUGCCUAUGCAGUCGGAGAGAUUGAGGUCUGCAGCGUAGAUCCUUCGGGGCUAAAUGCAUUUGUGCUAAGUUAUAGCAUUUUAUAGACAACUUGUUGACUAUGAUUUGUCUUGUAGCUUACUCGCUUAUGUUAUUUUACCUACGCUUAGGAUGUUGAGUAGCGACAUACGCAC